Molecule: ribosomal RNA, 200 nt
Filed under: uncultured bacterium
Lineage: Bacteria
Description: partial 16S ribosomal RNA
Rfam family: Bacterial small subunit ribosomal RNA
Source: RNAcentral
UACGAAGGGGGCUAGCGUUGCUCGGAAUCACUGGGCGUAAAGCGCACGUAGGCGGAUUGCUAAGUCAGGGGUGAAAUCCUGGAGCUCAACUCCAGAACUGCCUUUGAUACUGGCGAUCUUGAGUCCGGGAGAAGGUGAGUGGCAACUGCGAGUGUAGAGGUGAAAUUCGUAGAUAUUCGCAAGAACACCAGUGGCGAAGG